AGAAGAAUUCAGCUUUUCUUCAUGAUGUAGGAUGCUGUAUGUACUUGGAGCCAUCCUCAGUCACAGCUGCCUUUUCGUGGAUCCAAGGUCUAAGAGCCAUUUGACAUUCUGGACCACGAUUUCCCACCCACACAGUCUGCCUGAUGCUUGUUAAUGACCCAUCACAAUGGUUUUGCUUCUCUGCUGCAUAGAUUCAGAGCAGGACCUGAUGACCUUCUUAAGAGCAGCCAGAGAAGCCUGAACUGCAUGAAGAUCAGGUAAAUGACCUUCAAUGUUCUCCUGACU
Molecule: long non-coding RNA, 285 nt
Filed under: Callithrix jacchus (white-tufted-ear marmoset)
Lineage: Eukaryota; Metazoa; Chordata; Mammalia; Primates; Cebidae
Description: lncRNA (ENSCJAG00000081707.1)
Source: RNAcentral